Long non-coding RNA from Columba livia (rock pigeon), 1913 nucleotides. RefSeq lists it as uncharacterized. Lineage: Eukaryota; Metazoa; Chordata; Aves; Columbiformes; Columbidae. The record is from RefSeq and is a predicted model, not a curated record. The transcript is spliced from 2 exons.
UAACCUGAUUUAUCAGGUUAGAAACCAACCUUACAAAUAAAAUCAUCCCACCCUCCCAGGGUUUGGUCCUGAGUGGGAAUUCCACCCCCCCCAAACAUCACGUCCCUGCUCCCCCUGCAUCCCAGAGCAGCCAGGGAGGUGGGAUGCGACGGGGGGCACCGUGUCACCGCCGCCUGCUACGUGUCACCCCCUGGGCCCCGCUCCCGCUCCCCGGUGCACCCCCAGCCGAGCAUCCCCCUCCGGUGACACUUUUGAUGAGCGUCUGGGGGUUUUUGGAGCGUGAACUCGUUGGGAACACAGUGCUUCUCAGGCUGGUGCCAGCACAGGGGCAAAGUUGAAGCCCCAGCACCUGAAAUCCUGCUGGAAAUGCUGGGGGGAAGGGAUUUUUCACCCCAAGCAUCUCCCAGCGCCACAAGCAAGGGAUUUCUUGAUAUUUGGGCAGCUGUCAUGAUAGCUGCAAAGUGGGGGUCUUGGGGGGCUCUCUUCCCAGCCCUGGCACAGCUCCCCAGCUGUGGUGGUGUCACAGUUUGGGUACAUUCUAAAAAAUGCAGAAUUAAAACCAGUGACAGCAAGUUCCCACUUUCCCUUGCCAGCCACUUGGAAAGGUGAAGUGAAGCGGUGGUGGAGGGGGAGUGGGGGUUUGCUCAGCUCUUUGCAGACCCCAGAGCUUGGAAAAGCCAGAAUAAGUCACUGACUCUCAUCCCAAUAAGCUUUUCCCAGCAGCUGUGGACAAGAGGGAUACAGAUUUCCCAGUAAAGAGAUUUUUUUCUUAGGAUAAUUUUAAAAAGUGAUGUCUCAUCUAAGCAUUCAUUCCCCUGAAAGCUCUUGGGGUGUCGGGGAUGCCCAAACGGAGCAGGAUGAGAGGGUUGCAGCACUGGGUGCAAUGCUGCAGCCAAGCAUCCCUCAAUUUCUCAGCGUUUUCUCUGAAAUCACCCAUUUCCUUCAUAAAUAACAACCUGUUUCCUCCUGCUCGGCACCUUCUCACCUGCAAAUAUUUCCAGCGCCGACCCCAGGAGCUGAGAAAGCGGGAUGGGACCCCCCACCCUCUAACCAGAGCCUUCUCUGCUCUCCCAAAAAGUUCCUCCUGAAACUCAAGUGCCUGAGAUUGAGUCACUAAAAUGCUGUGACAUCACCAGCGGUUUUCGCUACUGAGCAGCCCGAGUUUCCUGUUAUGCCCGCGCGCCUAUAGAUAUAGAUAUACAUACGCAUAGGUGCACACUGUUAGUGAUCGAGUUCACUCUCCUUCCUCCCUGCAAACGUUCGCUUCUCUCUUUAUUUUUUGCAGCAGUCGGGGCUGGAGAUCUUGGUCCUGCUAAGAGGAUGAAAACAUGGGGCUCAAGUUUUCCUGCCUGAAAGGCUUGAAGACGUGUGUGAGCAGCGGGAAUGGCAGUGACAGGACCCCAGAGGCACCCGGUGACAAACACCUGCACGUCCCUUCCAUCAUCGUCACACCACCCACACCCACAGGGACCGCGCUGGCCCGUGAUGCCCGGCGAGGAGGGGACACACCGUCCUGCAGCCAGUGCUGAGCUUGGGGACCUGGGGGGGACAGGCCGGGAUGUGAAUCAGCUGGAUCCUGAACCCUGGGGACACGCGGGGUGGUUUGGACACCAAUGACUCUUUUUUCUCUUUUCUUCCCAAAACCACCCCAACGCUGACCAUGUGACGAUGGCGGGACAAAAGCAGGGGGGUCACCCCACUGGCCCCCACCUCUCUGCUCGGAUUGCAGAAGCAGGUUGAAAACAGCAGUGGAAAAAUGAACUCGGCGUCACCCAAAACCCACUGGAUCAUCCGCAGCCUGGAGCGGGGGGAACCGGGGGCGAUGCUUUGCGGGAAGCGGCGGCACCGGGAGAGGCAGGGGUGUGAAAACAGAUGGAAAUUUAAUUUUUUAACGACGGCAGCAGAUGGCAAAA